Molecule: long non-coding RNA, 1917 nt
Filed under: Androctonus crassicauda
Lineage: Eukaryota; Metazoa; Arthropoda; Arachnida; Scorpiones; Buthidae
Source: RNAcentral
UGAAUAUAUUAUUAUCUACAUAGUUUUCCCAUUUUUUCAAUGUUGGCCCGUUAAAGGGUUAAUUUACAAGCAAAUCUUCAAAAUCUGAAUAUAAAUGUGCCAUUUUAGGUAGAUUGUGUUAAACUGCCCAUAUCACGUAAGAGAUAUCCUAUAUCUGGCGGCUGCCAACACCCAUUAUGGUGUCAACCGGAGGAUUGAAGGAUGAAGUUCAACUAAUCGAGCCUAGAUCUCUCCUAAAAAAAAGUUUAAGGUGUGGGACCCAGAUUUGAAACCGAAUCCUCUUAGAUGGUAAGCGAAUGCUUUGCCAUGAGGCCAUCCCGUCGACACGUUUUAGAACUAGAUACUGUGUACAUUAUACUUUCUCUUGCAGAAAAAACGAUGCAUCCUUGAAAAAUCGAGAGAGAGCUGCGAAACUUGGUAUGCGAAUGUCUUUCAGGUUAUAUUCAAAUUAUUAAAAUUUUAUUACCAAUGAAUGCUCAGUGCGUUUCAAGACCUCAUAAGAAGGGCGAAUUUAAGGCAAUGUAAGGAGCAGCGUUCGUAAGAUAGGAAAAGAAGGCUUGUUGAAUUCUUUUUGAAAAAAAGCCGAUACUGAUUUUCCAGACGAAAGACAACUUUGCCAUUUAUAUGACCAGUCGCUUGACUAUUGCGCAGCAUUAUUAUUCUGCAAGCUGUCUAGUUCAAUCAGAGAAUUUACGUAGGAAGCACACUUUUUUGUUUAAUCGAUGAUGCCACAUGGCCAUUCAGUGGCCAUGUAGCUGGCAAAUUCUCUCGACAUUAAACCGCCCACAUCCACCGCUUUCCAACGGAGGUUAUUAAUCGGCGGUACAUUCCAGUUCCCACCAUGGGCUACCCAUACCUAUGACAGCUGAUUCCACCAAUGGUCGCCAUCAAGCCCUUCCCGAAAAAGCCAUCCUUCACCUGAUAGCUUUUUCGGAAAGGGCCAGGUUCAACGGCCUGGGCGAGCCUCCUAUAAGUUUAAGGGUAAUCGGUAGCACAGGUUCAGAUCACCAAAUAUUUUCCAAGGGAUAUGACUGGGAUUCGAAUCCAGGUCCUGUGGAUGGGCUGUGUAAGGUCCCCCCUUUCCUACACCUGCAGGUCCUCUAGACUGGAAUCCUUAAUGUUUACAAACAAUCCGGCCGACUACAAUACAAAAUCGGAAUGAAUAAAAAUAUUUAUUGAAUUUCAGGCCGCCAUAUUAGAUCUGCUAUUCUGAAUUUAAAAAACUAACCAUCAGAUUUGUAAUUUGUAGCCUCAAAAACUCCGAAACAUUGAUUUUCGUUAAAAAAAAAACUAAUAUUAAAAAACUGUCAAAUUUGAGGGGCUGCCACUUUUAUGAUCCCCUUUUGAGUAUAAAUUUUUAACUAAUAUAUGAAAGGAGUUUUUUUUCUCGGCACGAAGCACUCAAAUGAUCGAGAAAUGACGAAUUUUCAGCUGUAAACUUUUGGAGAUUCAAUUUUCCCCUUUCCUACUCCUUUGAGAUGAAAUUUCGAGAUGUCACAUUUUUUUCCAAAACAGUUCAGUGGUCCCUCAAUAACAUCUCCAAAUUUCAAUUUUCUUGGUCGUAGACCAAGAAAAAGUUUUAAGUGUGGUAGCUGGUACUGUACUCGUGUACUGUUUACUCAAAUUCGUACGUCAACACACGCACCGCAAAUGUUAUAUAUAUUUAAAUAUAGAUUAUAUUCCGAAAUGUUCUUAUUUUGAAUUUUAAAAAUAAUAGAAUUAUUAAUCAGAUUACGAAAAUACGAUUAUUAAUUGAAACUAUUUCAGUUUUGUUAACGUUAGAACUUUCAACACUUGUUGAUUAUUUGUUUUAUGAAUAUUUUAAAUUUAGCAUUACUGUAUAUUUUAAAAAUUAUUAACAUAUCUAUAAUUCGGAAAAUCGAACUAAUAUAAUGAUUACUAUAAUUUAACAAGAAA